This is a non-coding RNA of Vicugna pacos (alpaca), 2181 nucleotides long. The record is from RefSeq and is a predicted model, not a curated record. NCBI's taxonomy places the organism in Eukaryota, Metazoa, Chordata, Mammalia, Artiodactyla, Camelidae.
GACAAGGGUGUAAAGUUGACCGAAGAAAGGCCAAGGGAAACUGCUUAAAAGAUCUAUUUUAAAUUACUUGCUGUUUAGGUUUCUUAAUGCUCCAGCCCAUCUGGAAUUCCCAGCAGAAUACACUCUCUACAUGCCUGUUCAUCCCGUGCUUUCGCAAACUCCCAGCACACUGCUGUGCACGUUUAAAGGCACUCUAAAAAAACUAACAACUGAAUGUUGUUUGAAAAAAAACUGACUGGCUCCUCCCAUCAGCUGUUUUUGUCUGCACCUAGAUGAUGCCAUGCAUCUGGAUGAAGAGAACAAAUCCUACCAACUAUCAGGUGAGCUAUCUGAGGAUCUGAGAAUCAAGAGCCCCUGCCUUGGAUGAGGCCUUGUCCAGGCAGUGGCAGUGAGACUGGGAGAAACAUCUCAUCUUGCUCCCCGGGGAUAAAGCUGACAGCUCUCCUGGAGAUGUACAGGAAGGCAUUUUGGCUUCAGAUCUUCUGAAUCAAGCGCAACUUGCUGGCAUCCUGACUGCUUCAGGGAGACACCACUGUCACCUUUGAGAUGGAGUCUUAGAAGGCUUUCUUCCAGCCAGUUGCAAACUGCUUCAUGGCUAGCUUUCCUUCUCAACCUCCUGCACUAUGACUCCACAAUCAGCACUAGAAGCAGAAGAAAUAGCUGAACCAAGAAUGUUCCAUCAGCUCCUACAAUUGCGUGAGGUUAAAAUCUCUGUCCAUUUUCAGAAGCAAAUUUUCUACUUUUUGGCAAAAAGACUGCCUCCUGAAGUCCAGCCCACUUUGGGGUGUGGAGCGAUAGCCCAUGUGGUAAGAGUAAGCGGACUGCCUUGCCCACUUUGCUUCCUUGGUCCAUGUGCCUCUCCUUCAGGAGCUUCUCAAAGUGAGUGCCUGGAUCACCAUGAGAUGUUAGUAUUCCUGGUACAUUCUGGUAUCUUAUCUAGACUCCUUAGGAAAAUAAGAUUUCUCAUCAAAACCUCAGUGUGUCUGUCUCUGGAAAACUGUACGUGAUUACACUAGAGCUAAAAUGUUGUAAAUAAAACCAUAAUAGCAUGUUUUAUUCUUUCCAUUGUGCCUUUCCACUUACCAAACAUUUUAGCAUACAUUUUAAAAUUGGUCCUCCCAAGUAUUUCAUUAGCUAAAUAGGGAUGCAUUAUUUAUACCCAUUUCUCAGAUGACAGUAGAGGUUGUGACAAGUAUAAAAUCAUAAAAGUUCUAAGCAAAACGGCUGACACUGGCACGUAGUAGAGAGGCUUUUUAUGAUACAGACUGAAUCUAACAAUUAGCCCCACGAGGAUGGAUGGGCAGUUUGUAUCAAAUUGUUUUUAAUCUACCCAAAAAUCUCCAUCAGUAGCAGCUGAAAAUGAGUGUCAAUGGAAAGAAGGUGAGCUUCAUCUCAUUUCCCUGAGUCUGCAAGAAGCUGCUUUUUAUGGUGGGAUUAUGAAACCUGCAGCUCCUGAACAAAUACUUGAAUGCUAUUGAUUUCGAGAUAAAGGAAACAAGAAGAGGACUUUGUAUAAGAUGAGACAGGAAGAUGCUUGUAUAACACUUUAUAUGCCAAAACCAAAAACAAAACCCAAAAGACUUAGAAGAGAAUGAACGAAAAAAUGAAAAGUAAUACUAGGCAGAUGUUUAACCUAUCAGAACUGUAAUGUGAUUAGUGGGUAAAAAUGGUCCCAUCUUUACUCAGAGCUUAUUCCUGCAGACUGUAGGGUAAUCAGGACAGCCAGGACGAAUAAACCUCAUACACUGGGUCACGCACUCCAGAGCCUCUGUGGCAUCAGGUAACAGGAACUAAGUGAUGUUCCAUCAGCCUCUGGGGAAGAGCAUGUGAGAGGAAGCGGGACGAAAAAUGAGGUCCUGAAAAUCACUCAGAGUCUCUUAAGUUUCUUAUGUAGAAGAAACCUUGCUACACAGUGGACACAGUCUCUUGAGGGAGCUUUGAGUCUCUGCUAACACUCAGGCUUUUCUUACUGGCUUGGUCAUCACUGGCUUCCCAGGAUAGGGUGUCCCCUUGAUUAGAGUCAGCAUCCUGGAUAGAGAAAGGAUGCUAAUAGAUUUUGCUGCUUCCUAUAGUUUGGCUCUAAAGAGAACAAAAAGGAGUACUUUAGAAUUUUAAAAAAUAAACUUUAUUCUUGUGAUUUUUGUUAUUCCCCUUAAAACAGGCAGAUUAUAAAAAUAGAUU